Molecule: ribosomal RNA, 485 nt
Filed under: uncultured bacterium
Lineage: Bacteria
Description: bacterial SSU rRNA
Rfam family: Bacterial small subunit ribosomal RNA
Source: RNAcentral
UGGGGAAUCUUGGACAAUGGGGGCAACCCUGAUCCAGCCAUGCCGCGUGAGUGAUGAAGGCCUUAGGGUCGUAAAGCUCUUUCAACGGUGAAGAUGAUGACGGUAGCCGUAGAAGAAGCCCCGGCUAACUUCGUGCCAGCAGCCGCGGUAAUACGAAGGGGGCAAGCGUUGUUCGGAAUUACUGGGCGUAAAGCGCACGUAGGCGGACCAGAAAGUUGGGGUGAAAUCCCGGGGCUCAACCCCGGAACUGCCUCCAAAACUAUUGGUCUAGAGUUCGAGAGAGGUGAGUGGAAUUCCAAGUGUAGAGGUGAAAUUCGUAGAUAUUAGGUGGAACACCAGUGGCGAAGGCGCCUAACUGGUCCGGUACUGACGCUGAGGUGCGAAAGUGUGGGGAGCAAACAGGAUUAGAUACCCUGGUAGUCCACGCCGUAAACGAUGAGUGCUAGAUGUUGGGAUUUUCGGAUUUCAGUGUCGCAGCUAACGCA